This 518-nucleotide ribosomal RNA is filed under the name uncultured bacterium. Its description in RNAcentral is "bacterial SSU rRNA". It matches the Rfam family "Bacterial small subunit ribosomal RNA", at positions 27 to 518 of the family's 1533-position model. The record is from RNAcentral.
GGACGAACGCUGGCGGCGUGCCUAAUACAUGCAAGUCGAACGGUCUUUCUAUGGAAGCUUGCUUCCACUGAGAAGAUAGUGGCGAACGGGUGAGUAACACGUGGGUAACCUGCCCAUAAGAGGGGGAUAACAUCCGGAAACGGGUGCUAAUACCGCAUAGUUUUCUUGAUCGCAUGAUCGGGAAAGGAAAGACGGCCUUUGUGCUGUCGCUUAUGGAUGGACCCGCGGCGUAUUAGUUAGUUGGUGAGGUAACGGCUCACCAAGACGAUGAUACGUAGCCGACCUGAGAGGGUGAUCGGCCACAUUGGGACUGAGACACGGCCCAAACUCCUACGGGAGGCAGCAGUAGGGAAUCUUCCGCAAUGGACGAAAGUCUGACGGAGCAACGCCGCGUGAGUGAAGAAAGGUUUUCGGAUCGUAAAACUCUGUUGUCAGAGAAGAACAAGUUGGAGAGUAACUGCUCCAGCCUUGACGGUAUCUGACCAGAAAGCCACGGCUAACUACGUGCCAGCAGCCGC